RNAcentral lists this ribosomal RNA (492 nucleotides) under uncultured bacterium. Its description in RNAcentral is "partial 16S ribosomal RNA". It matches the Rfam family "Bacterial small subunit ribosomal RNA", at positions 29 to 507 of the family's 1533-position model. The record is from RNAcentral.
AGUGAACGCUGGCGGUAGGCCUAACACAUGCAAGUCGAACGGCAGCACAGUAAGAGCUUGCUCUUACGGGUGGCGAGUGGCGGACGGGUGAGGAAUACAUCGGAAUCUACUUUUUCGUGGGGGAUAACGUAGGGAAACUUACGCUAAUACCGCAUACGACCUACGGGUGAAAGCAGGGGAUCUUCGGACCUUGCGCGAUUGAAUGAGCCGAUGUCGGAUUAGCUAGUUGGCGGGGUAAAGGCCCACCAAGGCGACGCUCCGUAGCUGGUCUGAGAGGAUGAUCAGCCACACUGGAACUGAGACACGGUCCAGACUCCUACGGGAGGCAGCAGUGGGGAAUAUUGGACAAUGGGCGCAAGCCUGAUCCAGCCAUACCGCGUGAGUGAAGAAGGCCUUCGGGUUGUAAAGCCCUUUUGUUGGGAAAGAAAAGCAGCAGGUUAAUACCCCGCUGUUCUGACGGUACCCAAAGAAUAAGCACCGGCUAACUUCGUG